AUCGGGGCGAGGAGCAAUCCUUGCCGCCGGCGACCGGCGCACGGGUGAGUAACGCGUAUGCGACCUGCCCGUUGCAGGGGGAUAAUCGGGAGAAAUCCCGUCUAAUACCGCGUAAUGCCGCGGGGCUGCAUGGCCCUGCGGCCAAAGGAAGCGAUUCCGGCAACGGAUGGGCAUGCGUGACAUUAGCUAGUUGGCGGGGCAACGGCCCACCAAGGCGACGAUGUCUAGGGGUUCUGAGAGGAAGGUCCCCCACACUGGUACUGAGACACGAUCCACAUUUAAACGGGAGGUCUCCGUGAGGAAUAUUGGCCAAUGGGCGCGAGCCUGAACCACCCAAGUCGCGAGAUGGACGACGGCCCUACCGGAUGACAACCUCUUUUGUCGGGGAGCACAAUCCGCCACCUGUGGAGAACCCGAGAGUACCCGAAUAAAAAGCAUCGGCUAACUCCGUGCCAUCAGCCGCGGUAAUACUGAGGAAGCAAGCGUUAUCCGGAUUUAUUGGGUUUAAAGGGUGCGUACGCGGACUGUCAAGUCAGCGGCCAAAUACGGGGGCUCAACCUCCGCCCGCC
Molecule: ribosomal RNA, 569 nt
Filed under: uncultured bacterium
Lineage: Bacteria
Description: bacterial SSU rRNA
Rfam family: Bacterial small subunit ribosomal RNA
Source: RNAcentral